AUUUGUCAGAAGAUAUCAGAGCACAGAAGUGACUCCAAUCCUCGAAGUCCACUUCCAAGGACUGAGAAAUCUUGAGAACCUUGGAAAAGUGUAAGCCAGUACUGACAAUUAGAAGGAUUGGAUUCGUGCAAUGGCAAAAUUGCUGCCUUCACAUGAUAUCCUGGAUUGCAGCGAAUGGAGAUGGUCACAAGGCUCUGUGGAUUUGGUGUUGGAUGUGGGACUGGAAAAGAAGACAGGAGAGCGAGCGGUGGUGAGCUUCUUGCAGCUGCUUCCAGAUCGUCCGGGUUCCUAAAAUGCUGCUCCCUUUCUGAUGACAGGUGGAGUGAAGCAGCCAUCUUAUUGCCAUCCUCACUGUGUUCACCUUAGAGCAUGAUCUAUGUGAC
This 383-nucleotide long non-coding RNA is filed under the name Cricetulus griseus (Chinese hamster). RNAcentral describes it as "lncRNA (ENSCGRG00015039350.1)". The record is from RNAcentral. Lineage: Eukaryota; Metazoa; Chordata; Mammalia; Rodentia; Cricetidae.